Molecule: ribosomal RNA, 355 nt
Filed under: uncultured bacterium
Lineage: Bacteria
Description: bacterial SSU rRNA
Rfam family: Bacterial small subunit ribosomal RNA
Source: RNAcentral
GUAUGGUGCUAGCGUUAUCCGGAUUUACUGGGUGUAAAGGGAGCGUAGGUGGCAAGGCAAGCCAGAAGUGAAAACCCGGGGCUCAACCGCGGGAUUGCUUUUGGAACUGUCAUGCUAGAGUGCAGGAGGGGUGAGCGGAAUUCCUAGUGUAGCGGUGAAAUGCGUAGAUAUUAGGAGGAACACCGGAGGCGAAGGCGGCUCACUGGACUGUAACUGACACUGAGGCUCGAAAGCGUGGGGAGCAAACAGGAUUAGAUACCCUGGUAGUCCACGCGGUAAACGAUGAAUACUAGAUGUCGGGUAGCAAAGCUAUUCGGUGUCGUCGCAAACGCAAUAAGUAUUCCACCUGGGGAGU